UAGGGAAUCUUCCACAAUGGGCGAAAGCCUGAUGGAGCAACGCCGCGUGUGUGAUGAAGGCUUUCGGGUCGUAAAGCACUGUUGUAUGGGAAGAACAGCUAGAAUAGGAAAUGAUUUUAGUUUGACGGUUACCAUACCAGAAAGGGACGGCUAAAUACGUGCUAG
RNAcentral lists this ribosomal RNA (165 nucleotides) under uncultured bacterium. RNAcentral's name for it is "partial 16S ribosomal RNA". It matches the Rfam family "Bacterial small subunit ribosomal RNA", at positions 355 to 511 of the family's 1533-position model. The record is from RNAcentral.